UACGGAGGGGGCUAGCGUUAUUCGGAAUUAUUGGGCGUAAAGGGCGCGUAGGCGGCCCGGUAAGUCAAAGGUGAAAUCCCUCGGCUCAACUGAGGAACUGCCUUUGAAACUGUCGGGCUUGAGGCCGGGAGGGGGUAGCGGAAUUCCCAGUGUAGCGGUGAAAUGCGUAGAUAUUGGGAGGAACACCGGUGGCGAAGGCGGCUACCUGGACCGGUUCUGACGCUGAUGCGCGAAAGCGUGGGUAGCAAACAGGCUUCGAAACCGGGUAGC
RNAcentral lists this ribosomal RNA (270 nucleotides) under uncultured bacterium. Its description in RNAcentral is "partial 16S ribosomal RNA". It matches the Rfam family "Bacterial small subunit ribosomal RNA", at positions 524 to 794 of the family's 1533-position model. The record is from RNAcentral.